Non-coding RNA from Rattus norvegicus (Norway rat), 11614 nucleotides. NCBI's taxonomy places the organism in Eukaryota, Metazoa, Chordata, Mammalia, Rodentia, Muridae. The record is from RefSeq and is a predicted model, not a curated record.
GCGGGCCCGACGUUUCCCGGCGCUGAGGGUCUUCCCUGCCAGCCCGUAGUCCGCACGGAGCCAUAGAGCCGGGCGCGGGCGUGCGGCGGAUUCCUGAGCCCAGGGCCUCGGGCCGAGCCGCGCCCAGGAAUUCGGAGACGCCGCCCGCCUCUCUUGUCGCUCCGGGAGCUCCAAAACUUACUGUGUGGGCGAGCAGGCCGGGGUGACAGGUGCAACUCAGAGUGUGACAAACACGCCUUGCAGAGUCUCACUGAUUUUUUUCAGACGUGGAGAGCUCAUUAGGCCCACUUUAUACUUAGCCACGAGUGUACACAAUACUUUCUGUUGACAGGAGAUGUUUUGGAAGAGUACAGUGAAGAUUUAGCGAGGUUAAAUUGUUUAGUGGGGCCAUAGUUUACCAAUGCAAUGAAAUGACCAGACCUUGCUUUAAGUGGAAGUCUCAUAUAGUUUCUUACCCAAAGAAAAUAAUACCGUGCUUUAUGAAAGAAACUUUAAAAAAGAAGAAAAAAUUUACAGAGCUCACUGAAUAGUUUGUUCCGAAGGAGAACUUUUAAAUACUUUUGAGGUUAAACAUUAUUUAGAGACAAGGUCUCACUGUGUAUCCUUGGCUGGCCUGGAACUUGCUCUGCAGACCAAAGUAUGUAUAGAUCCUCAAAAUAAGAAAACCAGCAUUAUAAAAAUCUGUAUUAUAUCUACUAAGAAACACUAAUUUUUGCAGAUAAUGAGACAACACUCAUCUGUUCUCAGAAUGAGUUUCUUUUUAAACAACAAAAUUUAGCUGUUAUAAUAUGGCAAGUGGGGGUUGGGGAUUUAGCUCAGUGGUAGAGCGCUUGCCUAGCAAGCUUCAAGGCCCCAGGUUUGGUCCCCAGCUCCAGGAAAAAAAAAAAAGUCGUAGAGAUCCGCCUGCCUUUGCCUCCCACAGUGCUAGGAUUAAAGGCUUGGGUCACCUAGCCCAGCCAUAUAUCUUUUUCUGAAAAGCGGGUACUGAGUAUGCUUCAAGGAUCAUCAGGAUGGGCGGUAAGAGAACUGUUGGAAGUCUGGCUUUUGGCUGUUUUGAGAGACUUAUAGGGCAAGUGUUGGAAUAUGUUAGAGAACUGAAUUGGAUCUUGGCCCUUGUACUUAAUAGUAGUUUGAGUUGGGCUUGUUUCUUUCUCUACACCCUCGUUUCCUCAUCUUUAAACUGGCGAUUCAUAUUUUUGUCUCAUGGGAACAUUGACUGAGGAUUACAGAACCUCUCUGUAAGGUUCCCCUUUUUGGAGUGCUUGCCCAGAGGUGUAUGCUGGAAGCCGCCAUUUUCCUGCUCUUGAUGGUACCUGAAGAGUAAUUGCAUAGGAGUUGUGUGAUUAAUCUUAGGGGUUUAUUUGGAUAUGUGCUGCCGUGUAAAAAUUUCAUUUUUGUCGUAUUAUUCUUGUUUUAUAUAUUCAGAAGCUCUACUGCUUGAUGGCUGCAUAUUCAGGAUCCAGUGUCUUAAGUGGUCUAUGGUUAUAGGCAGCAAUGGUUUGAAAAUAUUAAAUGGGAAUUUACAGAAGCAAACAAUUCAGAUAUUUGAAGUCAUGUGCUGCUCUGAAUAUUUAUGAUGUCUAGUGGUCUUACUGCCUCCUGUCUGAGAAAUGAGCCAUCUCUCUGUGCUCUCUACAUCGACCAAUGAUCUGCCACUUGAAGUUUUCCCAACUGUUGUGGUGUUGACUGUUCUGGAAGCUCAGUGUUUAAAUGAUUCCCAUUUUACCUGGUAAUAUUCCCCAGUACACAAGGCAUGACACCUGACGGAGACAUUCCUGGAGGAAAAGAGAAAAGAACAGCAUAGCGGUUGAGAAUGACGGUCCAGCCAGCAUUUGGAAAGGUUACCACGCUUUGAGCUUUCGUGACUUUUGAUGAGACAUCUGUUGUCAGCUGAAUUGUUUGACCCAUCACUACAGCCUUUAAAGAAAAACUCAGGAGUUUAUGGGAUCAGCUCUGCAUGUGUUUCUUUUGGCAUAGCCUUUUUUCCCCCUUUCUUUUCUUUUCUUUUCUUUUCUUUUUUCUUUUCUUUUCUUCUCUUUUCUGUUCUGUUCUGUUCUGUUCUUUCUUUCUUUCUUUUCUCUGAUCCUUUCCAGUAGGACUUCAGAAGUCUUUUCUUGAGGUUUUCCCCAGGUCCUGAGUGUGUCAUUUGCUUGUAGUGCAUUUUCUGUUCAAAUUGUGCAGUUCCUGUUCUGUCUUCACGUUAACCAAAUCUUCUUCUGUUUUGCUCUUGAGCCCGCCUUUUCCAGUUUCAGUUUUCAAUUGGUUAUCCUUCAUGUUAGCACUCCUCUUUAGAUGAGCUUUUCCAUUCUUUACUCAUGUGCUCAGGAUUGCCCACUGAAGCAUGAGCGUAUGUGUAAUGCCUUUCUCAGGGUCUCUAAUAUGGAACUCUCUAUGUAGCCCUAGUUGCCUUAAACUCAGGGAUGCACCUGGCUCUGCCUCUCUUCCCGAGUGCUGUGCUUAGUCUUUCCUUAUUUUGUGAGGCAGGGUCUCGCUGAAUCUGGGUGCACUAGUUGUCUGGAUAAUGAUCUCCAAUGUUGUGUGGUCUUCAUAUCCUCAUCUUGGGUUAUAGACAGUGCUCCUGGCUGUUAUGUGGAUGUGGGAUUCAAACUCAAAUCCUCACGCUUGAAUGGCAGGCAGUUUCCCACUGAGCCAUCUGCGGGGCACUUUUAAAAACGUGAUAGCUUUCUAAAACACAUGUCAGAAUAUUUUGUUAUCUGUAAUUUUGAGGCUAACAUCUCUGGAUUCUCUUUUUCUGAUUCAAGUUGAGGUUUUCCUUUUAUUCCAUUUUCAUUGCAUAAACAUUUUGAGUAUUAUGUGAUAAGAUGAGAUUUAUUUAAUUCUAUAGUUUUACCAGACUUCUGUGAUACCAUGUUAGUAGUAGGAGGGGAAUGUGGAAGACACUGUCUUGAAAGGCUGGUUCCCUGCAUAGCUUUGAUAAGGUUGCCCUAUUUGCUCCAGUGAGAUGACCACUAGUCUUGGGUUGUUUGGGAGAGGAGUAUCUGGUUACUGAAGCCUGAAGGCCCAGGGACCUGACCUGAAAAGUUCUUUAUAUCCUAAAAGCGCUGGGGAUUCUUCAUAUCCUAGUCUUUUCCUUCCUCCUCUCACCCCUCCACUCUGUGUGUGUGUGUGUGUGUGUGUGUGUGAGAGAGAGAGAGAGAGAGAGAGAGAGAGAGAGAGAGAGAGAGAGUGUACGUGUGUGUGUGUGUGUGUGUGUGUGUGUGAGAGAGAGAGAGAGUGUGUGUGUGUGUGAGAGAGAGAGAGAGAGAGAGAGAGAGAGAGAGAGAGAGAGUGUGUGUGUGUGUGUGUGUGUGUGCUCCUGUUUGUCAGUGCUUUUUCUUUUGAGUUUUCUAAACUCAAAGUGGUGGAGUUACUGGCCUUGCAUAGAGGCACUUGCCUUUUUUUUUUUUUUUUUUUUUUUUUUUUUUGAGCUGAGGACUGAACCAAGCGCUCUACCACUGAGCUAAAUCCCCAACCCCCACUUGCCAUAUUAUAACAGCUAAAUUUUGUUGUUUAAAAAGAAACUCAUUCUGAGAACAGAUGAGUGUUGUCUCAUUAUCUGCAAAAAUUAGUGUUUCUUAGUAGAUAUAACACAGAUUUUUAUAAUGCUGGUUUUCUUAUUUUGAGGAUCUAUACAUAAUUUCUUUUGACUCUUAAAAGUUUUAUAACUAUGAUCUAAUAUUUUAGUAAUUAUUAAGAUUUCUGUGAUAAUUACAGCUGAAAAGUCUGUCUUGUUUGUGGUGUUGGGGAUUGAGUCUAGAACUCUGUGUUAGGAGUACUCAGCCUCACAGUGAGUGCUAAGACGAUGCUAUUCUACUUGUUCAGGCCCAGGAUAUUCUUUGGGCUUUCAGAAAUUAUAAAAGUCAAUGCAGUGGGGUUGGGGAUUUAGCUCAGUAAGGCCCUGGGUUUGGUCCCCAGCUCCUAAAAAAAAGAAAAGGAAAACAAAAACAAAACAAAACAAAAGUUAAUGCAGAAUUUCACUGGAAAGGAACUCUGGAUCCCUAUCCACAGUUCACCUUGAGAAUAAGGACUUCUUUACACUUGUCAGAAUAGGUGUGUCUCAUUAGUUCUCUCUGUGGAGGUAGAAUUGAUAAUAGGGUCCAUAAUAAUUACAGGCUACUAGAACUUACGUCCUGAGCUUAGGCCUUAACAUUUUUGUAUUGUGUUUAUUUAAUAUUGGGUAUUAUUAAUUCUAGUUCAAAACUUUCUAUGUAUAGUAUUGGUAUAAUUUCUUAUUCCAAUUUUUUUUUUUUUUUGGUUUCUUAUAGAAUGUUUUGAAAUCACUAAUUUGUUGGGGCUGGACAGAUGACUCAGUGGUUAGGAACACUGGCUUCUCUUCCAGAGGAUCUGGGUCCUAUUCUCAGCAUCCCAUAGCAGUUUACAGUCAUCUGUUACUACAGCCCCAGGGAAUCCAGUGGCCACAUCUGGCCUUUAUGAGCACUAACCAUACAUGUGGUACAGAGGCGUACAUGGCAGACAAAACACCCAUACACAUAAGAAAUAAAUAAAAAAUUUAAAAGACAAGAAGGAGGUGGGAGGGAGGGGGAGGGAGGAAGAGGAGAGAGAAAGAACUAGUUCAAGAUUAUAGUCACGUCUCAGCUUAAGGAGCUGGCUAGCCUUCCUCAUUGUUUCUUGCUUUUUCCACUAUGACUGUGGCAUGUUUUCUGAUGCCCUUUCCUUCAUUAGUUUGGUGAUGAUGGUGCUGGUCAUUGCUGCCUUAGUUUUAGUUUUGGUCUGUUUUGUGCAACAAAACCAGACUGUUUGAGCAUAGGUAAUGUAUGAAGGGCAGCAGUUGCUUUCUUACAGUUCUAGAGGCUGUGUGGUUUAGUAUUAAGGCAGAUCAAUCCAAGCACAUCUUCUUGCUGUUCUUUCUAUGUGGCAGAAGACUCUAAGAGAGCUAGUCCUCUUUCUGGUGGCAUUCACCCUUUUUGAAGGGGACCUUAUGACAGAAAUGUCUUUGGUUAUGGUCCCAUCGCCUGACACUGAGGCAUAUACAUUAAGCUGCUGUCACACGUUUGGAGAGUAUAGAGACAAAAUAAAAACCAAGUAUGCACAUGUUAAUAGUCACGCCUGAUCUCUAGUGACCCAUGGGAUCUUACGAAGACAUGUGGGCUCCCUUACCGAGAAGACCAGACUCAGAAACAACUUAUAUGAGAUGCUUUCCACAUCUAUAUGUACAUCCCACUUAAAUGGCCCAUGAUUCUGAGACCAAGCAACUUCUCUUUAACAGUAGCACCCUCAGUGUCUUGAUAACCUCUGGAGACUCUCCUGUUGUUUGGUGUCAUUGUGUUUCUAUAAAUUUGCUCUUUGUUUUCUCGUUUGGUGAGUUCUUUGUACCCAUUGUGCCACUGCCUUCCAUAAGCUGUCUUCAUGGCAGGCCCAGGGGACAGAGCAUUCCAGCUCCAGUACCUUUUUCACUUUCUGCGUUAGAGGCGGGGAAGCCGGGCUUCUCAUCAGCCUUGGUAAUGACUCAUAGCUGACACCAUUGAGCUCCAUUCUUUGGAGGACAUAGGCACAGUUCCCUACACAGCAUCUAUGGCUAAGGUGUCUCUCUUCUUUGUUAGUGUGCAGGCAGAAGAGAUUAUGUUAUUUAUUCUAAAAAUUUGAACAUUAGAUGCAUUUUAGAUUAAUGUACUUUAACAAAUUCUCAAUAUUUUCAUUCAGGUAGAAACAAUAGAGCUGUCAGAUACUUAAGGUAUAAGAUGCCCACUCCUUGACCUUCGUCUGCUUGCAGGCGUGGAAGCCCUGUGCCGUACAGUCCUUGAGCAGUCUAUUGAAAGCCUGUGGCAGCGGCUGAGGUGGUGUGUCUUCCUCCUUGAAUGAGCAAUACACUUGGGUCCAUGUCAUUGCUUCUGUUUUCUUUGUUCACAUUGUUUUUACUCAUUUAAAAAUGUUCCCAGAAUUAUACUUAAUUGCUGGAAACGCUGAUUUCUCUUGAGUGACAAACCAAUUAAGUGUGUAUGACACCAGGCAACAAAGACAUUUAGGAUUCUAUGCUUAUCCUGUGUCUGGGAAAAAAUCCAUUAUUCAUCAUCUUAUUGUUUUUAAAUACUGAAGUAAAAUUUUAAGUACAAUAGGAAAAUUGCUUUGGAGGGGGAAUAAAGUGCUUGCCAGUUCAAAGGCUACAUUUCUGAAGUCGCGGUCGGUAAACUUGGUGCUGCUCAUAUGCUCAGCCUCCGAGCUCCCCAUGUUGCUUCUCCAGCAUUCAAGCUGGUGAGACUGAGAUUUUUCAACAGGAUCAUUGAGAGAGCCUCAGUGAGGAAAAAAGCCCAAACCCAAACCUUAUUUAUAUAUAUUAACUGGUGUUCUGAAGUUUGACUACAUUUUGGAUAAAUACUCUUUUUUUCUAGUUUAUGUAAAAACUUCACUGAAAUACAUAAUCUUAUGCAGGAAAGAACAAGGACUUUUUCAGGGAAAAUACUUUCUUCAGGCCCCUUAUGGAUUCCCCCCUAAAUCACCUGAAGUGUCAUUUGUAGAAGAUUAUAUGGAGCCAGUGAAAUAGCUGGCAGUUUGGUUGGCUGAGGGAGUGUUUAAAGAGGUGAGGAUCAGUGCCAGGUCUCCCGGUGCAUUUGUGCUUACAUCAGCAUUCUUGGUGGCAGUGAGAGCUGGGAGAUGGAUCCCCACAGUGUUGCCUGUAGCCUCAGCAGCCCCUCACAGAGACCACUCUGUAGAAGUCAGGAUGCUCCACUUCUGCUGCAGAAGAGAACUUCAGGCCAAGUCAGUGUGAAGUAGAAAUACAGAUUGAAGCUAGGCAUUUGGAAAGAAAGACAGGCCUGAACAAGCUUACUUAGUGUCAGGCACUCCCAGGACAAAGGAAGUGGAGGCCGACUGAUCCCUGAGUUCCAGGUCAGCCUGGCCUACAGAAUGAGACUGUCACACAUAGACACAUGCAUGCAUGCAUGCAUGCAUGCACGCACAAGUAAGUAAGUAAAUAAAUGAAACCGUAGAACAGCAUUGGGUUUCUCAGGUCAAGGCACUUGCUAUGCAAGCCUGAGGAGAUGGAAGGACAAAACCAGUUCCUCAAGGUUGCCCUCUGACCUCUAGAUAUAUACAGACAUGUCUAUACAUGUAUAAUAAAAUAAUUAAAGAAAAGGAUAGUAUUACAUGCCCUUAAAUGGUCUUGGGUUUCUCAAAACAGUCUCAUUUAAAUUUCUCAAUAAAAGCUAUCUACAUGAUUUUUGUGGCUUUUGAAAUUAUUGUGAGAAAUUAAAAGGUUUAGUAAAAAGCAAGUUUUAGUAAAUUUUGUUUAAUGAAUCUUCUUUAGGAAAUGAGAUCAUGGGUUGGGAUGUGUUUUAGUUGGUAGAGUGCUUACCUAGCUCUGUGAAACUGAAGCUGGGGUUUCUAUCCCCAGCCCAGCUAAAAAAAUGGUGGUGACACAGGUGGUGCACACUGGUAAUCCUUGUAGUUAGGAUAUGGAGACAAGAUCAGGAGUUUAAGAGUCAGAGGUCAGUUUGGGCUACAUUAGACCCUGUCUUAAAACCACCACCCUUCCCCAUUUAAAACCCCCAACAAAUAAAAAAAAUGAGAUCAUAAGGUGGUUUCUGAAGUGCAUUGAGUUUAUAGGCUCAUAAGAUAAAUGCAUGACUCACAAAGUUCAAAGGACUACCUUAUUGUAUAAGCAGAUCACAAACCAAGACAUGUUUUCACUGAAAACAAGGCUCAUAGUCCUGUGAGCCCUUCUUGAUUCCCGUCAGCAGAGUUAGGAGCCCCUUUCCUUCUCCAGGAUUAGUUUUCCCUGUUUUCCUGCCCUGUACCAGCCCAUUAUAUGUGUGUGAGUUAUUUUGUGUAUGAGUACUUUGUGUUGGGGUGCCUGUGGGAGCCAGAAGAGGGUGUCAGAUUCCCUGGAACUGAAGUUAUGGACAGUUGGGAGCCCCAUUUGAGUGCUGGGAACUGAACCUGGGUCCUCUCUUCAAGAACAGCAAGUGCUCUUAACUAUUGGCCAUCACUUCAGCCCCCCAGUCCCCAUACUUUGAAUCAUUCUUUGGUCAUGGGUAUUAUAACCUUUUCCAUUUCUUUGGUUCCUCUUUUAAACAGCUCAGUGUAGUUAUGGUUGUCUUUUUAGGUAAAACUGUAUACAUGUUUAAUUUCAUGGGUAAGAUCCUGCUCUUUAGUAGCUGUGUAUUAAUGUAUAGGAACAUAAAGACUUGUAAUAAAUCUUCAUGAAUAGUUCACUAUUCCUGCCAGCAGUGAAGACUGCUGAGGGUGUUAAAUGUAAGACUUACUUUUCACAAUGAUAGGUAGUGGUGCAUGUCUGUCAUUGCACCACUCGGGAGGCUGGGGCAGUAAGGUCUCAAGCUUCAUUUAGGCCACCUGAGCUGUAUAGUGAACCCCUAUCUCACACAAUAACAGAGGAAUUACUUUAUCCACUUGACAAACAAGGCAAAGCCUGUUUUUAGAAACAAAUUAUUCUCAAGCUUAGAGUGUGUCUAAUGAACAGUAAUCAUUUGACGUGAGACUAAAACUCCUUCUGAUGCUUCCCUGGUGCUGUGUGUCUUGUCCAUGGCACCCCAUCGUCCCUAGCAUUUGCACAUGGCUGCUCUAUAGGGCCUCAUCUCCUUCUAGAACCUUCAUUAGUCGACUGCUUUCUAGUGUAUAGGGAAGUACAUCCUUACUGCUGUGAUGAUACCUGAUAAAAACAAAUUAAGGAAGGGGUUGUUUGGUUCUUGACAGCAUGUCUGUCCUCACUGGGAGAGAGGGGCCUGUGAGACUCCUGGCCACAUUGUAUCCAGUCAGGAAGCACCAGCUUGUCUUCUGGAUAUCACAUGUAGGAUCUCAGUCUAUGGGAUGGAUCCACACACACUGAGAAUGGGUUUUCCCUCUUCAGCCAAACCUCCCUUGGAGCGUUCUCAUGGAUAUAGGCAGACAGUGAAGACUGCCAUCACAGGAAGGCUCCUGGAUUUGUUUUCUUUCUAGGUCUCCCUUUGUGAGUGAGCUGUUAGUUUACUUGUUUUGUCCUGUGUGUCUGAGAGCCUAAUGUGAGUUGGGCAUCUGCACUGCCUUGAUGCGUUGUGCUCACUGCCUAGGACAGGCAGAGCAUAUGCGGGCACUGAAGUGUCUAGUGCUAAAGUAUAGUGUGGUAAACACAGUUUUGUGAGUUUGCUGUAUUUCUUUAUGAAUUGCCUUUGCUCAUUUGUCAUCUGAAGUAUGCUUUUAUAUAUUUCUAUAAGAGCUAUUUAUAAAGAUGACCCCACCCGCACCCCAUUCUUUUUUUUUUUUUUUUUUUUUUUUGGUUCUUUUUUUUCCGGAGCUGGGGACCGAACCCAGGGCCUUGCGCUUCCUAGGUAAGCGCUCUACCACUGAGCUAAAUCCCCAGCCCCCACCCACACCCCAUUCUUAAGUGCUACAGACACCUGCAGAGCCUUCCUGGUGCCUGGUGGAAGUCAGCCCUUAGUUUAGCCAUUGUCAUCAGGUCACGUAGUCUUUAUGGAGUUACAUUUUCCUCUUUGUCUUAUUGGUGACUGGUUUGUGCCUCAACAAAGUGUAUAUAGAUUUUAAGAUAUCUUUCUGUUACUGUUUAAAAAAAAAACCUGACGAGAAUAUAUGUGGUAUGAUUUUAUUUAUUUUAAAGUUUACAAGUUGGUGCUGUGGCCCAGGAUGUGGUCUGCGUGUGAACUAAGGAGACUGCUCUUUUGUUGUUGGGUAGUGGUUUUGGGUAAAUAGUGUUUAGGUCACAAUUGGUAUUAAGUGUGUCUUUAUCUCUUUUUUGAUUCACCUUUUCUAUAAACAGAGAAGAGUUGGGGCACAGAGUGACUUUGUUAAUUUCACAUUUGAUUUCUAUCUGUUUUGUUGCAUGUACUUUGAAGAUCCGGUGCUAGGUACAUGUGUGUUUAAGAUUAUUAGAUUUUUUUUUUUUUUUUUUUUUUUUGGUUCUUUUUUUCGGAGCUGGGGAUCGAACCCAGGGCCUUGCGCUUCCUAGGUAAGCGCUCUACCACUGAGCUAAAUCCCCAGCCCCGAUUAUUAGAUUUUUAUUGGUGAAUUAAGCCCUUUAAAUUACAGUAGUCCUGGCUGAUUAAAAAAAUCCUUCUGGGGGCUGGAGAGAGAUGACUCACCUGAAUUCAGUUCAUAGCACAUGUUAGGCAGAUACUAACCUUGUGUAACUCUAGCUCCCAGUGAUCCGAGGCCUCUUAUGGCCUCCCACACUAAGUGGCAUAUGCUCACAUACAUAUACACUUAAAUAAAAAUACAUCUUUAAAAAUGUCUUAGUCAUCUUAGUUAAUAACAGCUAUGUAGCUUUCUUUCGAGAAGUCUUCACACCAUACCAUUUCCAUUCUUUUAUUUUUAAUUUUUCCACCCUUUGUAUCCCUUUAUUUAAGGCACCUCCUUGAGGUAGUGAUUUUUGUACUCCAGUGGCUGUCUGAUACUGUGCAAAGACACUGUUUUGAGUCUUUUCUUGUCCCACAAGGGUGAUGCUGUUGGUCUUUAGUACCUAGAACUGAGGUCCUUUUGAACUUUCUGUGUGCACAGGACAGCACUCCACUGUAAGGAUAUGUGGUCAAGAUGUAGAUUGUGCUCUGUUGGGAAAGCCCGCUUUGAAGGUCACAGUAUCCAAAGCUAAUUUAGCAGUGCACUCUGAGCACUGUCCUCUUCCCACCUCAGGUAAAGCAGACAACCCGACACUGCCUACUGUAGUGUUGUUGUCUUUGCAGUUACUGACUGGAGCUUACGAACCCAGAGCUGUCAUUUUACUCUGCGUAGCCCUACAUAUGUUAAAGAACUUUUGUCGCUGUUUUUGGCUCUUAAAAUUCUUAAUUUUCUCCGGAUACUGUUUUUAUCUUGAAACUUGCUUAGCAUUCUUAAAGGCAGAGCUGCUGAUAAAACUUUCUCCUGGUUUUCUUUCAUAUAGAUAUUGUGGGUCGUUGGACAUGAUGUUCUGUUUGGUAUAAACUAAAGCUUCCAGAAAAAAAGUCACAUCUGUGUAAAGAUGCUACAGAACCAAAUGACCAGCUAGAACUUAGUGGUUAUGGAGGGUCGCAGUGCUGCGGCCAGUUAUGGAGGUGUCAUCACAGGAGGCCCAGAGCCAUGGUGUCUACCUGCUUCAGUUCCUCCAUAGCCAUUUAUUUCCCACUGAGGCUGACCCAACAGCCUCUAACAUAAUCUUCCCCCUUUGAUGUCUCCUGUUGCCGCCUCCUCCUUGAACACCCUUCUCCUCUCGCGGUCUACUUUCUAGUAUUGAAGCCUUCAUAAAUAAGAUUUUCCGUGGGAGAGAGAACAUAGGAUGUCUAUGAGUUAGCUCAGGUGAUGGACUACAUCCCCAUUUGCUGCAUUUUCCAGCAAAGCUCCUGGUCUUUUGCAGCUGUACUAAUCCCAUUGUGGUAUAUGCCCAUAGUGCAUUCUACCCCUCCCAGCCAUGAAUACAACUUCCAUUUUCCUAUAUCCUUCAACAUUUGUUGUAUCUUUUCUUGGUGCCAUUCUCACUGGGCAUCUUGAAGUAAUUUUGAAUGGCUUACAAAGUUGAACACUUCUAAACACAUUCAUAGGCCAUUUACGCUUCUGUUUUUGAGGACUAUCUGUCGUGCAGACCCCGCCCCCCCCGGGUGUGUGUGUGUGGUGUGUGAUUUUGCAGUUCUUUUGCAUACACACACACACACACACACACACACACACACACACACACAAA